RNAcentral lists this ribosomal RNA (253 nucleotides) under uncultured bacterium. Its description in RNAcentral is "partial 16S ribosomal RNA". It matches the Rfam family "Bacterial small subunit ribosomal RNA", at positions 524 to 776 of the family's 1533-position model. The record is from RNAcentral.
UACGUAGGGGGCUAGCGUUGUCCGGAUUUAUUGGGCGUAAAGAGCGUGUAGGCGGCCAGGUACGUCUGCUGUGAAAACUCGAGGCUCAACCUCGAGACGUCGGCGGAAACCAUCUGGCUAGAGUCCGGAAGAGGAGAGUGGAAUUCCUGGUGUAGCGGUGAAAUGCGCAGAUAUCAGGAAGAACACCCGUGGCGAAGGCGGCUCUCUGGGACGGUACUGACGCUGAGACGCGAAAGCGUGGGGAGCGAACAGG